RNAcentral lists this ribosomal RNA (974 nucleotides) under Escherichia coli. Its description in RNAcentral is "partial 23S ribosomal RNA". It matches the Rfam family "Bacterial large subunit ribosomal RNA", at positions 180 to 1194 of the family's 2925-position model. Lineage: Bacteria; Pseudomonadati; Pseudomonadota; Gammaproteobacteria; Enterobacterales; Enterobacteriaceae. The record is from RNAcentral.
CGAACCGGGGGAACUGAAACAUCUAAGUACCCCGAGGAAAAGAAAUCAACCGAGAUUCCCCCAGUAGCGGCGAGCGAACGGGGAGCAGCCCAGAGCCUGAAUCAGUAUGUGUGUUAGUGGAAGCGUCUGGAAAGGCGCGCGAUACAGGGUGACAGCCCCGUACACAAAAAUGCACAUGCUGUGAGCUCGAUGAGUAGGGCGGGACACGUGGUAUCCUGUCUGAAUAUGGGGGGACCAUCCUCCAAGGCUAAAUACUCCUGACUGACCGAUAGUGAACCAGUACCGUGAGGGAAAGGCGAAAAGAACCCCGGCGAGGGGAGUGAAAAAGAACCUGAAACCGUGUACGUACAAGCAGUGGGAGCACGCUUAGGCGUGUGACUGCGUACCUUUUGUAUAAUGGGUCAGCGACUUAUAUUCUGUAGCAAGGUUAACCGAAUAGGGGAGCCGAAGGGAAACCGAGUCUUAACUGGGCGUUAAGUUGCAGGGUAUAGACCCGAAACCCGGUGAUCUAGCCAUGGGCAGGUUGAAGGUUGGGUAACACUAACUGGAGGACCGAACCGACUAAUGUUGAAAAAUUAGCGGAUGACUUGUGGCUGGGGGUGAAAGGCCAAUCAAACCGGGAGAUAGCUGGUUCUCCCCGAAAGCUAUUUAGGUAGCGCCUCGUGAAUUCAUCUCCGGGGGUAGAGCACUGUUUCGGCAAGGGGGUCAUCCCGACUUACCAACCCGAUGCAAACUGCGAAUACCGGAGAAUGUUAUCACGGGAGACACACGGCGGGUGCUAACGUCCGUCGUGAAGAGGGAAACAACCCAGACCGCCAGCUAAGGUCCCAAAGUCAUGGUUAAGUGGGAAACGAUGUGGGAAGGCCCAGACAGCCAGGAUGUUGGCUUAGAAGCAGCCAUCAUUUAAAGAAAGCGUAAUAGCUCACUGGUCGAGUCGGCCUGCGCGGAAGAUGUAACGGGGCUAAACCAUGCAC